Molecule: ribosomal RNA, 1941 nt
Filed under: Triticum aestivum (bread wheat)
Lineage: Eukaryota; Viridiplantae; Streptophyta; Magnoliopsida; Poales; Poaceae
Description: partial small subunit ribosomal RNA
Source: RNAcentral
AUGCGCUUCAAGAUAAUUUUAGCCAUUUGUGAGGCGUUGCAUUUCUUGCAUAUUGAGUUAAACAGGCCUAUCAGCCAUCUGCCUCUUACUCCUGAAAACAUAUUUUUAGACAAAAAUAUGGUACCAAAACUAGCAGAUAUUGGUCUAUCAGAUCUGUUUGACGGACUAUCCCUAGAAGGCACGGAAUAUGAUCUGGAAAUCAAUCGGUACAAGGCUCCAGAAUACAUAAAUAGAUACACUACUUCAUUCCAAUCAGACAUAUACAACUUAGGUCUCUUAAUCAUGGAUACCGCAACAGGGGAGAAACACAGCUCUUGUCAAGAAACCAUGGAUAGUAGCCAUUUUGUGAAUGUACAUCAAAAGUGGACAGACGAAUAUAUAGCAACAAAGUAUGCAUCACUGGAUGUCACUUGCAUUGGUCAGCUCAAAGUAUGUCUCCAUACUGCGCUAUGGUGUGUCAAGGAGAAAAGAAAGGACAGGCCAUCUAUACGGGAAAUAGUCAGUACACUGAACAUUCCAUAUCUAGACACCCCGUUAAACAAGGUAUGCACCCUUUCGCAAAAAAAAAAGCCAGGAGCCGGUCCCAUCUUAUUGUUGAGCGUGCAACCCCAGCGUCUCUCCUUCCCUCUCAUUCCCGCAAGGUUGACCUCCCGCCCACUGUGCCUAACAAACAACAAGGAUGAGUGUGUCGGCUUCAGGCUUCUCACGGAUAACCCAGCGAGGUACCAUACAGAGCUGCCGCUUUGCGGCUUUGUACCGCCAAAGUGCACCUACACUAUCAACGUGAUAGUGCGUGAGCACACGAAGGAGCUACCAUCGAAUAGCGAUGAGUUUCUGACCCUGCUGACCAUCAGAAUGCAAGAGAGUGAUUUCAAGAAUCUCGACCCAGACUCCGUCGCCGUCCUUUUUGAGAACGCCGAUCACGAGGUGCGGGAGAUGAUGCUGCCUGUUGUUUGUGACCCACCGGAAGAGACCACCGCUGAUCAGAUCAUAGCCAGUAAGAAUUGCCGAGUGGUGCUGUCUAUCGAUGUUCAUCCAACUAGCCAGAAUUACCGGCAGGUGUUGUCCUUGGAUGUGCAUCCAACGGUGCCUUGGAUGUUGACGACCAACCAAAGGGGUACUAUUUGCAUCUGGAACUACCGGAAGAUGGAAACUGUGAGCUCCUUUGAAGUUAGUCCAGGAAAACCAGUAUAUUCUGCAAAAUUUAUCGCUCAAGAGCAGUGGCUUGUAACUGGGGAUGGCGAUGGAUACAUUCAUGUGUACAAUUAUGGUAGAAUGGAAGAAGUCAGGAACUUCAAAGCUCAUGAGAAUAAUAUAAUGUCUAUGGCUGUGAGUCCAACUUUCUCUUUGGUUCUAUCAGCAUCUGACGAUCACCUGAUUAAGCUUUGGGACUGGGACAAGGGCUGGGAAUGUACGCAAACAUUUAGGGGGCACUGUAACAGAGUCACACAAGUGAUGUUUCACCCGCGGUACACAUAUUGUUUUGCGAGUGCUUCCCUGGAUGGCAGAGUCAAGAUAUGGAACAUCAAAUAUGAUAAUUGCAAACGCAAGUUCAAUGAGCAUCCAGAUGGUCUUCUAUGCCUUCAGUACUUCGCAGAUGUGCAACCUAACAGUCGUCGGCAUUUACUGGUUGUUGGCUCCUCCGAUGGUGUUGCAAAGGUCUGGGACCCGGAGGCAGAAAGUUGUGUUGGUACGCUCGAAGGUCGACAUACGAACCGUCUCACUGCUCUUUGUUGGCACCCCAAACAUGAAGUAUUAGUAACAGGUUCCCUUGAUGGGACCAUACAAAUCUGGAAGCCGACUAACACUACUUAUAGACUUGAGAACAUAAUUGGCCUUAACAUCGGCGGAGUUACCGCUCUUGCACACAUACCGGAAUCGACAAGGGUUGUGGUUGCAUGCGAGCAAGGAAUAGCAAUGGUGGAAAUUGAUUACCCGUGA